CAAUAGCGUAUAUUUAAGUUGUUGCAGUUAAAAAGCUCGUAGUUGGAUUUCGGUUAAGAGCGACCGGUCCGCCGUUUGGUGUGCACUGGUUGGUUUUAACUUCCUGUAGAGGACGUGCUCUGGGUUUAACGACCUGGACUCGGAGUCUACGUGGUUACUUUGAAAAAAUUAGAGUGUUCAAAGCGGGCUUACGCUUGAAUAUUUCAGCAUGGAAUAACACUAUAGGACUCCUGUCCUAUUUCGUUGGUCCCGGGACGGGAGUAAUGAUUAAGAGGAACAGUUGGGGGCAUUCGUAUUUCAUUGUCAGAGGUGAAAUUCUUGGAUUUAUGAAAGACGAACUUCUGCGAAANCANNNGCCAAGGAUGUUUUCAUNAA
Molecule: ribosomal RNA, 375 nt
Filed under: uncultured eukaryote
Lineage: Eukaryota
Description: partial 18S ribosomal RNA
Rfam family: Eukaryotic small subunit ribosomal RNA
Source: RNAcentral